Molecule: ribosomal RNA, 468 nt
Filed under: uncultured bacterium
Lineage: Bacteria
Description: partial 16S ribosomal RNA
Rfam family: Bacterial small subunit ribosomal RNA
Source: RNAcentral
GACGAACGCUGGCGGCGUGCUUAGCACAUGCAAGUCGAACGGAAAGGCCCUGCUUUUGUGGGGUGCUCGAGUGGCGAACGGGUGAGUAACACGUGAGUAACCUGCCCUUGACUUUGGGCUCAUUUCAUGAAACUGGGGCUAAUACCGCAUAGGAGCUCCUCCUGCAUGGUGGUGCUUGUAACGUUUCGGCGGUUGGGGAUGUCCUCGCUGCUUAUCAGCUUGUUGUUCGGCUAGUGGCUUACCAAGGCUUUGACGGUUAGCCGGCCUGAGCGGGUAGACGGCCACAUUGGGACCUAGGGACGGCCCAAACUCGUACGGGAGGAAGCAGUGGGGAACAUUGCACAAUGGGCGGCAGCCUGAGGCAGGAACGCAGGGUGAGGAAUGAGUCCCUCAGGGUUGUAAACGGCUAUCGCAUGUGACGAAGCGUGAGUGACGGUAAUGGGUAAAGAAGCACCGGCUAACUACGUG